This 208-nucleotide ribosomal RNA is filed under the name uncultured bacterium. Its description in RNAcentral is "partial 16S ribosomal RNA". It matches the Rfam family "Bacterial small subunit ribosomal RNA", at positions 570 to 776 of the family's 1533-position model. The record is from RNAcentral.
CGUAGGCGGUAUGAUAAGUCAGAUGUGAAAGCCCGGGGCUCAACCCCGGAAGUGCAUUUGAAACUGUUGUGCUUGAGUAUGGUAGAGGGAAGUGGAAUUCCUGGUGUAGCGGUGAAAUGCGUAGAUAUCAGGAGGAACACCGGUGGCGAAGGCGACUUCCUGGACCAAUACUGACGCUGAGGCGCGAAGGUGGUGGGGAGACAAAACA